GGAGUCCGUGUGUCGUAGGAGUUCGUCCGAAAUCUGUCCGCUACAGAAGUUUGGUCGGAGUCCGGUCUCUAUAGAAGUCCGGAUGGGGAUCAUUUGUUGAGGAAGCUCGGUCGAAGCCUGCCUGCAAUAGAAGUUCGGAAGGAGUUCGCUCACAAUAGAAGCUUAGGUGGAGGCUUACAGUAGAAAUCCAACGUGGACCGCUCGUAGUUGAAAUUCGGAGC
Molecule: long non-coding RNA, 221 nt
Filed under: Elaeis guineensis (African oil palm)
Lineage: Eukaryota; Viridiplantae; Streptophyta; Magnoliopsida; Arecales; Arecaceae
Description: long non-coding RNA (EGUI_LNC076103)
Source: RNAcentral